UGGACGCAAGGGAUUUCUAGGGUACCAACUGGCUUCCGGAACUGACACUCAGGGCCGUCUCAUGGGUACGUCGUGGCUUUUUGCUUCCUUCGGGAGCUGCCAGCUCAAAGCUAUUCAGUGAUGAUGGUAUGCAUCACAGUGUGUGACGGAAACUUCUCUUGGGUGUUCAGGUGCAGGUGUGAACACCGGGAGGGCUUUUCCAGCAUCGCAGCUCACCUGGCGUCACAAGGGUCAUCAAAGAGCAAAGCCUAAGGCAGGAGUACAAAAAGCUUCCCAGCAUCCCUCAAUCGUCAACGAUGGUGCAGGUGUGAGCACAGGGAGGGCUUUUCCAGCUCCUCACGUGGGUCCCGAACCACAGCUCACCUGGCAUCGCAAGGGUCCACAAGAAACAAAGCCUAAGGUAUUAAGACGAAAGUCUUCCCAGCAUAAAUCAGUCCUCAACCAAGUCCUGGAGGAACUGGACAAAGUAGAGCAUGGUGGGUAUAUAUCGCUCUAGAGCAGAAGACUUGGGAAGUGGAGGUUUAGAUACACAUGCUCUUCAGAAGGGCGCUUUCCCUGACUAAAUUGACACCCUCAAAUGCUCUGGCUUUGUUUCUGAGUGUUAUCAAUGUAUUCUGAGAAAUAUUGCCUCCUGAAGAUAUUGGUUCUUGAAGAGGUUACUUCUCAUUAAACUGAUUCCAUUUCUUUCUAAAGACCUGAGCCAUGACACUGGGGAGACCGUGGCGUUUCAGAAAAGAGGAGACCAGGUAGUGCCGAUCUACGAUGAAGGGACUUGGACAAUGAAAUCACGAGGCAUGCCAGGUAAUUGCUGUCCUUUGGUCAUCCAGUGCCAUGAACCAAAAUCCCUGUGUCUGCAGGCUCUUCAGCAGCCAAACUCUUGCCCUGAGUGCCCCCCCAGCACAAGGGAGGGGUCCCUCCUGUGCACUGAGGUCCAAAGGGAUGCACUGAGAGA
Columba livia (rock pigeon) is the source of this 952-nucleotide long non-coding RNA. RefSeq lists it as uncharacterized. NCBI's taxonomy places the organism in Eukaryota, Metazoa, Chordata, Aves, Columbiformes, Columbidae. The record is from RefSeq and is a predicted model, not a curated record. The transcript has 4 exons.